AGAAACGAUAAGGUAAGUAGGUAGCCGACAAUAUUUUCCCUUAUAACAGAAGGCCUUCGUUGCAUUUCUACAUAAAAUUGAAUGUAAAAAAAAAACCAAACCUUUCUAUGUUAUUAUUAGCUACAAUGUACAAAAACAUCUCAAUGGGUGGCGGCCGCCGGCGCAGUGUAAUAAAGCUGAUGCUCAUCGGCUGCAUACUCAUCAGCUUGUUCCUCAUCUCAACAGUCUACCUUUCUCAGACCGCUCGCCAUCAUAAUGGCAUCCACGUCAGCAGCAGUCUCCGAGUCGUCGAUCUCCGGAACCCGAAGGCUGAUGAGGAAGUGAUUAAUGGUGUGGGUGUUGAGAAGAAGAAGAAGCAGGAGCGUGAAGGUGGGGAAGAAGAAGAGUUGCGAACAAUGGCGGAGACGGUGUUCUUCGGGGUCGAUGAAGUGGUCGAGCCAGUGAAGGUUCGUGCUCGCGGAAGCAUCUCCCCCGGAGCGCCUCAUGGUCGUAGCUGGUCUGAUUUGUUCAGCGUCGAUUGAUAUCGAUUUGUGUUCAAGUGAAGUAGGCUCAACUGAUAGAGUUAUGUUGUGAUAUGAAAAUGUCGGGUUCGAAUCUAGCGAAACCGAGCUGACAUUCAUGAUUGGUUUAUCAAAUCAUCUCACCAUCAGCCAAUCAAUUUAAUGUGAUUAUUGUUCUUUUUUUUAAAAAAAAAGAUAGCCUUUUGGAUUCUUUCCAAUUCUGUCGGUCGGAAUUAAAUAAAUGCUAUUCAUAUUUUUUCCUUCUGAUAUUGCAUUUUUUUAUGAGCAUAUAUGGAUGUCGGUGGAAAUAUCCAAACUUUUAUUGUUACCACGUACUCUAGCUAGUUGCAAAUAUUUUAAUAUAUAUACACCUGUGUAAUGUAGUUUUUCAUAUUUUGUUGUUGUUUUAUUUCGAAAAUAAAACAACAGGUCUGCAUGGGUUUCAUUUUAUUUCAAAGAUAGUAUUUUUAUUCGAGAA
RNAcentral lists this long non-coding RNA (978 nucleotides) under Linum usitatissimum (flax). Its description in RNAcentral is "long non-coding RNA (LUSI_LNC002671)". Lineage: Eukaryota; Viridiplantae; Streptophyta; Magnoliopsida; Malpighiales; Linaceae. The record is from RNAcentral.